ACCCUUGCCAUUCCAUGGGUCUUGAUCCUAGUUUGUUCUUCAGAUGUUUUGGUUUCUCCUAUUUUUUUUUUUGUUAGGUUACUGAAAAAUAGUUAAACUGUCCUCAGUUCCCAAUUUCCAAAAGGCUGUUUUCUGACCAACUUGGCUGCUUUAUAUGCCGCUAAUGCUCCAGCGCUUUUUAAAACUUGGUUCUGGUCUUCACUGGAUUGAUUUAUAACCCAAAUCUUACAUCUCAUACCAUUUUGUUUAAAAUGUUGAACUGAAUUUUAGGUUAUAAUUUUUCCUAUAUAAAAUGUCAACAUCAGGGAAACGUUAAGACCUAGAAGAGUGGUCUUAAAAAUAAGUUGUAGCAUGUGACCAAGACACUACUCAUUUUACUCAAUGCCUUUUAGGAAUGCAGUACUUGAGUUGUAUUACAAGUUUAGAGACAAUCAUAAGGAAGAACAGACUGCAAGUUGAAAUGGAGAGCCAGGACCAAAAGCAAAAAUUGCUAGGUUAUUUACUUCAGCACGGGGAAAGAUCUUUUACUAUUAGAGGCUAAUAUUUCACUAGUGUGUGAAUAAACAUCUAAAAAUGAGAGAAUGGAGGGGCACCUGAGUGGCUCAGUUGGAUAAGCGAGAGCCGAAGAGCACA
This is a long non-coding RNA of Herpailurus yagouaroundi (jaguarundi), 633 nucleotides long. RefSeq lists it as uncharacterized. Lineage: Eukaryota; Metazoa; Chordata; Mammalia; Carnivora; Felidae. The transcript is spliced from 3 exons. The record is from RefSeq and is a predicted model, not a curated record.